UUUAUUUUCAAAGAUUUUCCAUUUUAAUUUAAUAAACUGACAGCCUGGAAAUGUAUUUAAUUAUUUAAAUGCAAAUUAAUAAUUCGUACAGUGAUAAACCGAAUCAAAAACCAUUUGAAAAAUCAAAAAUCAAACGAAAAACCAAGAUUUGAGCUGAAUCGAAUCAGAAUUGAAUCGAACCAGUCCAAACCUUCUAGAAGCCCUCUUUCUUUUUAUCUCCACGCUUAUCCCAUUCCCUCUCCCUCACCAUUUCUACAACACCUCCAGCGGCACCAUUACGCCACCACUUCCUCCUCUCUUUUUCCUUUUCUUUUUCUUUUCUUUUCCCUGUGACUGCGUCUGCAUCACGUCCCAGCAGCUCCAGCAGAAACGCAAGCCACCAGCACGAGCUCAGCCGCGUCGCGCCACCUCGCCGCUGCUCCACACUGCAGUAGCUCCGCCAUUGCCGACGCCUCUCUCCGUUCAAGCCAAGCAGGGACAGAAGGUUGCUCCUCCCCUGAUCUGUCCAAGUUUAUAAAACUCCAAAAUG
Jatropha curcas is the source of this 529-nucleotide non-coding RNA. The record is from RefSeq and is a predicted model, not a curated record. Lineage: Eukaryota; Viridiplantae; Streptophyta; Magnoliopsida; Malpighiales; Euphorbiaceae.